GAUGAACGCUAGCGGCAGGCCUAACACAUGCAAGUCGAGGGGUAGAAGGAGCUUGCUCCUUUGAGACCGGCGCACGGGUGCGUAACGCGUAUGCAAUCUACCUUGUACAGGGGAAUAGCCCAGAGAAAUUUGGAUUAAUGCCCCAUAGUAUAUAACCUUCGCAUGUUGGUUAUAUUAAAGUUCCAACGGUACAAGAUGAGCAUGCGUCCCAUUAGUUAGUUGGUAAGGUAACGGCUUACCAAGACGAUGAUGGGUAGGGGUCCUGAGAGGGAGAUCCCCCACACUGGUACUGAGACACGGACCAGACUCCUACGGGAGGCAGCAGUGAGGAAUAUUGGUCAAUGGUCGCAAGACUGAACCAGCCAUGCCGCGUGCAGGAAGACGGUCCUAUGGAUUGUAAACUGCUUUUAUACAGGAAGAAACCCUCCCACGUGUGGGAGCUUGACGGUACUGUAGGAAUAAGGAUCGGCUAACUCCGU
RNAcentral lists this ribosomal RNA (479 nucleotides) under uncultured bacterium. Its description in RNAcentral is "partial 16S ribosomal RNA". It matches the Rfam family "Bacterial small subunit ribosomal RNA", at positions 28 to 506 of the family's 1533-position model. The record is from RNAcentral.